This 767-nucleotide unclassified non-coding RNA is filed under the name Penaeus chinensis. RNAcentral describes it as "glycine-rich RNA-binding protein 7-like, transcript variant X5". Lineage: Eukaryota; Metazoa; Arthropoda; Malacostraca; Decapoda; Penaeidae. The record is from RNAcentral.
GUAUAGUUGCCAAGAGUCGGCGGAAGAUUACGCACAUGAAGGGUAUACUUCGCCUGUAAGCAGUAUUGGAGCUGCAUUUUCUUGCUCUAAGAAAGUAUUUUAAGUCUCCUUGUUGCGUCGUCUAUUUUUCCAGACAGGGGUUCUUAUUUUUUAAAAGGACCAGAAUGGGCGACGACUGCGGCGGCGGCGGCGGCGGCUGCGACUCGGGAGGCGGCUGCGACUCGGGAGGAGGAUGGGAUUCUGGCGGAGGAGGAAACAGCUACGACUGGAGUAAUGAUGAUGGAGGAGGAGGAGGGGCCUGCGAGGACGCCUUCGUGUACGUGGAGACUUCGAGCGGUCAUCGAGUCAGGACACCGAAGUCGAGGUCAAGAGGCGGGGGCAGCGGUUCGGACGGCCAGAUAUUCCUUAAUAAGCCAUCUUGAUGUUCAGCAAUUUUGUAUCGAAAUCAAAAACUGCUUAUGUGAAAGCCAGAAAGAAGAAGAAGAAGAAAAAGGGAGCGAUUUGAAGAUCAAUGAACGAGAAUGAAAGUGAGAAUAUUUCGGGGUCGAGCUCACAAUCACCACGCCCUCGACAACCGAAGAGACGGGGACCUCGCAGCCGCCUUUCUUGGGGCGCAAUGAACCCCAAGGCAAAUACCCUUUCAUCUACCUUUUUAAGACCAUCCUUUGUCUCGUUUAUAUCUGACGGGAGCGUCCAACCUGUCUCGUUGACGGUUUCGAUUAUUAGACUAGUUUCGUACUUAUGUAAUAAAACUGAUCUAUCAACUC